This 815-nucleotide ribosomal RNA is filed under the name uncultured marine bacterium. RNAcentral describes it as "bacterial SSU rRNA". It matches the Rfam family "Bacterial small subunit ribosomal RNA", at positions 56 to 885 of the family's 1533-position model. The record is from RNAcentral.
UGCAGUCGAACGCACUCGACCUUCGGGUCACAUGAGUGAGUGGCGAACGGGUGAGUAACACGUGAGGAACCUGCCCCGAAGACUGGAAUAACCCGAGGAAACUCGGGCUAAUACCGGAUAUCCCCACCAGGUCGCAUGGCCAGGUGAGGAAAUGCUCCGGCGCUUCGGGAGGGUCUCGCGACCUAUCAGCUAGUUGGUGAGGUAACGGCUCACCAAGGCAUCGACGGGUAGCUGGUCUGAGAGGACGAUCAGCCACACUGGGACUGAGACACGGCCCAGACUCCUACGGGAGGCAGCAGUGGGGAAUCUUGCGCAAUGGGCGAAAGCCUGACGCAGCCACGCCGCGUGAGGGAUGAAGGCUUUCGGGUUGUAAACCUCUUUCAGCAGGGACGAAAAUGACGGUACCUGCAGAAGAAGCUCCGGCCAACUACGUGCCAGCAGCCGCGGUAACACGUAGGGAGCAAGCGUUGUCCGGAUUUAUUGGGCGUAAAGAGCUCGUAGGCGGUUCAGUCAGUCGGGUGUGAAAACUUGAGGCUCAACCUCAAGAGGCCACUCGAUACUGCUGUGACUAGAGUCCGGUAGAGGAGUGUGGAAUUCCUGGUGUAGCGGUGAAAUGCGCAGAUAUCAGGAGGAACACCGACAGCGAAGGCAGCACUCUGGGCCGGUACUGACGCUGAGGAGCGAAAGCAUGGGGAGCGAACAGGAUUAGAUACCCUGGUAGUCCAUGCCGUAAACGUUGGGCACUAGGUGUGGGGUCUCGCUAACAGAUUCCGUGCCGCAGCUAACGCAUUAAGUGCCCCGCCUGGGGAGUACGG